GUGGAUUAGAUACCCUUGUAGUCCACGCUGUAAACGAUGAGCACUAGGUGUCGCGGGUAUUGACCCCUGCGGUGCCGCAGCUAACGCAUUAAGUGCUCCGCCUGGGGACUACGGCCGCAAGGUUAAAACUCAAAGGAAUUGACGGGGGCCCGCACAAGCGGUGGAGCAUGUGGUUCAAUUCGACGCAACGCGAAGAACCUUACCUGGGCUAGACAACGGAGGACAGCCUCAGAGAUGGGGUCUUCCCUUCGGGGACCUCCGGUUCAGGUGCUGCAUGGCUGUCGCCAGCU
This 290-nucleotide ribosomal RNA is filed under the name uncultured bacterium. Its description in RNAcentral is "partial 16S ribosomal RNA". It matches the Rfam family "Bacterial small subunit ribosomal RNA", at positions 773 to 1060 of the family's 1533-position model. The record is from RNAcentral.